AUGAGUAAUGCUACCUUAUCAGUCUGUUCUUGGAACAUUAGGGGUCUGGGUGAUGUGGACAAGUGUAAUGAUGUACUUUCUGAGCUAUCUUCGAUUAAGCCCCAUCUGUUGCUUUUGCAAGAAACGAAACUAGCCGAUCCAUCUAUGCUAAAAAUUAGAUCCUUUCUGCCUCGGUCACUAGAUUUGUUUGUCAUGACGCCAGCAUCAGGAUCUGCUGGGGGGUUGCUCACAGCCACCAACUCCUCCUCCCUUAUGAUUCUUUCGCACACGAAUUACUCCUACUGUUCGUCGGUUAAAAUUCAGUCUCUAGCAAGCCCCUUAACCCUCACAAUCACAAAUGUGUAUGCCCCCACAAGCUGUGCACUUAAGUCUGAUUUCCUUGCGGAAUUGGUCUCAAUUGCUCCACCCGAUCACUCCCCUUGGCUACCAGUUGGAGGUUUCAACCUUAUUCGCUUCCCACACGAGAAAAACAAUGACAACUUUCAUCCGAAUGAGGCCGUCGCUUUCAACGAGACCCUAGACUCUCUUGCCCUUCUAGAACUGCCCCUGCUUGACCGUCGUUUUACGUGGUCUAAUAAUAGAGAAACUCCGGUAUUAGAACGACUAGACCGGGCCUUCUUUAACUUAGCUUGGAACAACACCUUCCCCAACUCCAACCUCAUAUCACUCACUCGCACCACCUCCGAUCAC
RNAcentral lists this ribosomal RNA (690 nucleotides) under Triticum aestivum (bread wheat). RNAcentral's name for it is "partial small subunit ribosomal RNA". Lineage: Eukaryota; Viridiplantae; Streptophyta; Magnoliopsida; Poales; Poaceae. The record is from RNAcentral.